CGGUAAUUCCAGCUCCAAUAGCGUAUACUAACGUUGUUGCAGUUAAAAAGCUCGUAGUUGGAUUUCUGAUCUUUGCCAAUGGUUGUGUCGCCGCGUGCGAGGCGCCUUGCGCAGAGGUCAACAUAUGUCACGAGCCAGUGUGAUCUAUUCAUUUAGGUCCACUGGGUAAUGACUCGUUUACUUUGAGAAAAUUAGAGUGUUCAAAGCAGGCAUUUGCCUUGAAUAUGUUAGCAUGGAAUAAUAGCAUAGGACUUCGGUUCUAUUUGUUGGUUGUUCGAGAACUGGAGUAAUGAUUGAUAGGGACGGUUGGGGGCAUCCGUAUUCUCAAGCGAGAGGUGAAAUUCUUGGACCUUGGGAAGACGGACAGCUGCGAAAGCGUUUGCCUAGGACGUUCUCUUUAAUCAAGAACGAAAGUUGGGGGAUCGAAGACGAUCAGAUACCGUCGUAGUCUCAACUAUAAACUAUGCCAGCUAGGGAUCGGUGGGUCUUUGUCACGAGUCCAUCGGCACCUUACGAGAAAUCAAAGCAUUUGGGUUCCGGGGGGAGUAUGGUCGCAAGGCUGAAACUUAAAGGAAUUGACGGAAGGGCACCACCAGGAGUGGAGCCUGUGGCUUAAUUUGACUCAGCACGGGAAAACUUACCAGGUCCGGACAUAGUAAGGAUUGACAGAUUGAAAGCUCUUUCUCGAUUCUAUGGGUGGUGGUGCAUGGCCGUUCUUAGUUGGUGGAGUGAUUUGUCUGGUUAAUUCCGUUAACGAACGAGACCCGCGCCUGCUAAAUAGUCGGCCUCACUUCUGUGGGUGUUGUACUUCUUAGAGGGACCAUCCUGGGUAUACCGGAAGGAAGUUGCGGGCAAUAACAGGUCUGUGAUGCCCUUAGAUGUUCUGGGCUGCACACGGGCUACACUGCAAGAUACGACAAGCGUCGAUCACGCCUGACUGGAAGGUCCGGCCAAUCUUUGAAUAUCUUGCGUGAUUGGGAUAGACCAUUGCAAUUAUUGGUCUUCAACGAGGAAUUCCUAGUAAACGCGUGUCAACAACACGCAUUGAUUACGUCCCUGCCCCUUGUACACACCGCCC
RNAcentral lists this ribosomal RNA (1078 nucleotides) under uncultured stramenopile. RNAcentral describes it as "bacterial SSU rRNA". It matches the Rfam family "Eukaryotic small subunit ribosomal RNA", at positions 577 to 1674 of the family's 1831-position model. The record is from RNAcentral.